Molecule: ribosomal RNA, 674 nt
Filed under: uncultured bacterium
Lineage: Bacteria
Description: bacterial SSU rRNA
Rfam family: Bacterial small subunit ribosomal RNA
Source: RNAcentral
GAUAACAGUUAGAAAUGACUGCUAAUACCGCAUAAGCGCACAGGACUGCAUGGUCCAGUGUGAAAAACUCCGGUGGUAUGAGAUGGACCCGCGUCUGAUUAGCUAGUUGGUGGGGUAACGGCCUACCAAGGCGACGAUCAGUAGCCGACCUGAGAGGGUGACCGGCCACAUUGGGACUGAGACACGGCCCAAACUCCUACGGGAGGCAGCAGUGGGGAAUAUUGCACAAUGGGGGAAACCCUGAUGCAGCGACGCCGCGUGAGUGAAGAAGUAUUUCGGUAUGUAAAGCUCUAUCAGCAGGGAAGAAAAUGACGGUACCUGACUAAGAAGCCCCGGCUAACUACGUGCCAGCAGCCGCGGUAAUACGUAGGGGGCAAGCGUUAUCCGGAUUUACUGGGUGUAAAGGGAGCGUAGACGGCGCGGCAAGUCUGAAGUGAAAGCCCGGGGCUUAACCCCGGGACUGCUUUGGAAACUGCCGUGCUGGAGUGCUGGAGAGGUAAGUGGAAUUCCUAGUGUAGCGGUGAAAUGCGUAGAUAUUAGGAGGAACACCAGUGGCGAAGGCGGCUUACUGGACAGUAACUGACGUUGAGGCUCGAAGGCGUGGGGAGCAAACAGGAUUAGAUACCCUGGUAGUCCACGCGGUAAACGAUGAAUACUAGGUGUCGGGGAGCAAA